AUUGAACGCUGGCGGCAUGCUUUACACAUGCAAGUCGAACGGCAGCGCGGGCUUCGGCCUGGCGGCGAGUGGCGAACGGGUGAGUAAUACAUCGGAACGUGCCCAGUAGUGGGGGAUAGCUCGGCGAAAGCCGGAUUAAUACCGCAUACGACCUGAGGGUGAAAGCGGGGGAUCUUCGGACCUCCCGCUAUUGGAGCGGCCGAUGGCAGAUUAGCUAGUUGGUGGGGUAAAGGCCUACCAAGGCGACGAUCUGUAGCUGGUCUGAGAGGACGACCAGCCACACUGGGACUGAGAUACGGCCCAGACUCCUACGGGAGGCAGCAGUGGGGAAUUUUGGACAAUGGGCGAAAGCCUGAUCCAGCAAUGCCGCGUGUGUGAUGAAGGCCUUCGGGUUGUAAAGCACUUUUGGCGGGAACGAAAAGGACUGUGCCAAUACCACGGUUCGAUGACGGUACCCGCAGAAUAAGCACCGGCUAACUACGUG
Molecule: ribosomal RNA, 484 nt
Filed under: uncultured bacterium
Lineage: Bacteria
Description: partial 16S ribosomal RNA
Rfam family: Bacterial small subunit ribosomal RNA
Source: RNAcentral